This 460-nucleotide ribosomal RNA is filed under the name uncultured bacterium. RNAcentral's name for it is "partial 16S ribosomal RNA". It matches the Rfam family "Bacterial small subunit ribosomal RNA", at positions 338 to 795 of the family's 1533-position model. The record is from RNAcentral.
CCUACGGGUGGCAGCAGUGGGGAAUCUUGGUCAAUGGGCGCAAGCCUGAACCAGCCACGCCGCGUGGGGGAAGAAGGUUCUCUGAUUUUUAAACCCCGUUUUUAGAGGAGUAAAUGCGGGAGAGUGUCUGUUCACGUUUCGACGGUAUCAAACCAGAUCGGCUAACUCCGUGCCAGCAGCCGCGGUAAGACGGAGGAUACAAGCGUUAUCCGGAUUUAUUGGGUUUAAAGGGUGCGUAGGCGGUCUGAUAAGUUAGAUGUGAAAGCCAGCGGCUCAACCGGAGUAGUGCAUUUGAAACUGGGAGACUUGAGUGCAGUUGAGGCAGGCGGAACGCCUGGUGUAGCGGUGAAAUGCUUAGAUAUAUGGCAGAACACCAGUUGCGAAGGCAGCUUUCCAGGCUAUAACUGACGCUGAGGUACGAAAGCGUGGGGAGCAAACAGGAUUAGAUACCCCUGUAGUC